UGGGUCUCCUCUACUUUGUUCAUCUUCAUUCUCCUUCGUUCGUUCUCCUUCGUUUUUCCGUCGUGUGCGUUUGGUUUUUACGGUAGCCUGUAGCGUGGGAUUGGUUUUUACAGUAGCCUCUUGGGUCAGUUUAAGCUUUUGAGGUAUUUUCUUCUUGUUGACGCGACUUACUGUAUUUCAUAAUUAGAAAUACAGUAUAAUGUAAUGUAAUGUUACAUUCUUUAUUAGUUCAAAUUAAAACAACGGAAGAAGGACUUUGUGUGAGUGAUCUAGUCAAAGUGGGGAAUCAAAUUUUAAGAGAAAGCCAAUAAGCAGUAGUGAGGCGUUGAGUUAGAGGCGUUGAGUUAAAGAUACUCCUCGUUAAGUUUUCUUUCAGAUGAAAUUUCUGAUGAUGCUUCUCCUCCUCUGACUUCAUCAAGUUUUCUUUUUUCAGCGUUUGAUUUAAAUAUGUCUAGGAUGUUUACUUUUAAAUUCCAUGAUUCUUGCGAAAACAUACUCUUCCUUGUGAAAUUUAUUCAAUAUUUUAACAUACUUGUUGAAUUAAAUUUCCAUUUGAAUUUUAAUUAAUUGAGUUGCUUGAUGUUAAAUUUGGUUUCGAUGACGUCGAUGUUUAAUUUGAGAUACUUUAGGUGAAUGGGCUGCUUUUAUGUUUGGUAUGAAUUCCAAAGAAUGAUUAAUAGGUAUGGUUUUGAUUUUCUCUUUGAUUUUUGUAUGGUUAUUGAGUUCAUAUUGAGUCUUAGGAAAAAUGAUAUAGUUAUUGAGUUAUCAUCCAGAAUAGUGAAAUAUAAAUUUUCGAAGCAUCUAAUAGCCAAUCAUCUAACAAAUGCAUUUGUAUACAGAGUGAAUAUAGAAUUGAAACUAUGUUAUAUAGAGAAAUUGUUGAAAUACCAUUGUAAUUUUAGAAAAUCUUGUAUAGAAAAAGUAUAAAUAUUUAAAUCUUUUUGUGGGCUCUUUAUUUUGUCAAGAACGGAGAUGACCUGUAUCGAUUUGGAAUUGAUUUUGUUUGAAAAAUUGUCUUACUUUAUUGUUAAAAAUAUGAUAAAGGUUGGUGUAGCAUGUGUUUUUCUUAGUAUUAAAAAACAAGACCUGACCCAAUUCGGUUCGGUCUAACCCGAAUGUGGGCUAGGCCUGUCGGACAGUGCAAAUUCGGGUCAGGUCGGUUUUGAAGGAAAACUGACCCGAUCCCAACACAAUUACACCCAUCAAAAGAUUAUUUAAAAGUAGGCUCGAAGCAUAUUGAAGAGAAAAAAGAAUUGUGCCAAAAGAAUUGUGCCAAAAGAAUUGUGGGUAUAAGCUGUUGAAUGCACAGUACUUGUCAAAUUGUUCUCUUGCUGGAAGUUUGUGGAACAAAAAUUGUAAGCCCUCAUUCCAUUCUCCUUACAUGUAUAUUAUUAUUCUCCAAGUUGUGAAAUACAAGUUUAAAAUUCAAGUGUAAAUUUUUAUGGGUUAAAUCAUUUUGUUAAAAUAAAAAAUAAAAAGAAAUUUUAGGAGCAAUUUUAUUUUGAUAAUGUUUUGGAAAUUUAAUAGGUGAUGGAAAGGCCAAAAUUGAAGUUGGUUUUGAGUUGAGAGCAUAAAGGUCAUCUGACAUUUUCUUUUUUUAAAAAAAAAAGAGAGAAAAGAGAAAAUAUCUCUCUUCUUCUCCUACUCCAUUCUUCCAAAAAAAAAUUUUUUUCUUUGUCUUCUCCUUCUUCUUCUCAGCCCCGACCUCCCACUCACGCCACCAUUUCUCUCGCACGUCGGUAUAACUCCGAUGACGACACACACCAUCGUCAGGUCUCCGUGCAUCAUCUCCAUCGCGUCCGACAAAACUAUCCGAUUCUUCAGCUGUUGGUCACGUCUGCGGUUUCGAUUGGUGGUGUCGCUGUUGCCACAUCUCCCCCACUCGUCGGAGUUUGUCGUCGUUUGGGGUGUCGUCGGAACUCCAAGAGAUUGUCGACGACGCCAACCAUUUCUCGCCUUUCUUUAGUAAGCUAUUUUAACGCCAAAUUGAAGGAAAAAAGCGCAUAAUCUUGGCGGAUCGAGUUAUUGACUAUGAGUGGAUCAUUUUCAAACUUUCUUUGUACAUAUACAUAUUAUUUUAUGAUAGUUGAGAAAUUACCAUGACCUAAACUUGUCAUGAUGUUUUCUUUUAUGUUUAAACAAUGUAUUUACAUAUCGUCAUUUAAAGAAUGUUUAUGACUUAGAUUUUAUAAAAGCGGGUUUCAAGUUCCUACUUUCAUUUAUACUUAAAUCGUGUGUUUAUUCAUCACGAUUUUAAGAAUGCAUAUGGCAUGAACUCUUGUAUUUCGGAACUGUGGUUGAACCCAAACUUACUAACCAAGUUUUAGAUGACAAGUAGUUUCUAAACAUUUAUUGAUUUAUAACUAGACUUGAAGGAUUGCUUAAAGUAUCUAUUGAUGGCAAAAGAUCGAAAAUGAUUUGAAAAUGUGUUUCUAACAAUGUUUGUUUUUUAAACUCGAAAUAUAUGAUUUUUAUGAAUGUUGGUGAUUACCCUUAAAGCUACGAGAAUGUGUUUCUGUAGCGCCACCUAUGGUUUUCAGGGGAUUCUGGGGCUGAAAAAGGCCGUGACUGGAGAUCCGGGAACCUGAACCUAGGUGAGGAUAUGGAUAGAGGAUUGUGAUAUGGCUUUGGGCCUAGCUUAACCCAUGGUGGGUGGCUCUAUGUGCACAUAGGAGCGGUAUGUUGUUACCGUGGUUGGCGCUAAGUAUGCGUGAGCUCCAUUUGGCCGUGUGUUUCCUUGUGGAUAUGGAUCACGUGUGAGCUAUUCCGAACCGUGUAUUUAGUAUGCUAUCAUGGUCGGACUAGAUGGAGGUUGCUAUCGUGGUGGAUACUAAAUAUGCAUGAGCUAGUUUUGGCUGCAUGAUUCCUUGGUCAUGUGUGAGCUAUCUUUGACCGUAUAUUUAGACGCCUUGCCAUCAUUGGUUUGGGUACAGGUAGCGGUUAAGGACCAAGCAUUGGUUAUGCUUUCCUAUCAUUGAUUGUAGUUUCUCAUUCUUGUUGUAUUAUCUACUUAUGUGAUCUAUUGCAUUAUUGGGUGAUUAGAAGAAGCAAUAGUCACGAUGAGAAUUUGAGUUUGAGAGGUCUUUUAUUAGAUUGUAAUUUUUUUGUAACUAGUUCGUAGUUGAAUAUAAACUCUGAAUAAGAUUUUUGAAUUGUCUGGAUGAGUGUGUGGUGAGACAAACUCGAUGUUAUUUAAGUUUGAAAAGCAUAGAAGUGUGAUUUUCUUCUAUUUUUUCAGGUGUGGUUAAUCCAUUUUUAAGGGGAGACACUGUUGAAUUUUUUUUAGAAUUUUUGGAAAGAAUUUUAUCAAUCUUACAUUUGAAUAGGAUUGUUUUAAGGAGUAGAUUCACACCACGAUCUAGGUUAGAGGAGAAAACUUAGAACGAUGUGUGACAAAAAUCCUCAACAAGCAUGGAUAAAAAGAAAACCACCCAUUCAUCAUCUGAGAGUAUUUGGAUGUGACUUAUGUGCAUAUACCUUAUCAAAAGCUUAAAUAGUGUGGUAAGCUUAAUGAUAAAAGUGAGAGGCAUAUUUUCGUUGGCUAUGAUGCAAGCUCAAAAGGCUAGAAACUAUAUAAUCUCAUUACAAAUAAGACGAUGGUUAGUAGAGAUGUUGUGUUUGAUGAUGAAGCAUCAUGGAAUUGGAAUGAUGAACCAGAAGAUUACAAGUUUUUUAUUUUUUUUUUCGAUGAUCCUGAUGAGCUAGUGACAUUGCUUCUCCAUCAACACCACCAAAAUUGCCGAAUUACUCCAUAACAAAACACACCUUCAUCAUCUACAAGUUCAAGUGAAGGGCCUUGUGACAUGAGAAGUUUAAGAGACAUAUAUGAUAAAAUUGAAGGUCAAAAGUUUUGCUAACCUUACUCUCUUUUGUCUAUUUGGUGACAGUGAACCUUUGAAUUUUGAAGAAGCUUUUCCAAAUGAAAAAUAGAAGAUUUCUAUGGAUGAAGAGAUAAAAGUUAUAAAGAAGAAAAAAGAUAUGUGGGAAUUUUCUACUCAUCCAAGUGGAAAGAAAGUAGUAGGUACCAAAUGGGCGUUCAAGAUAAAAAGAAAAGAAAAGAAAGGAGUUGAGAGAUACAAAACAAGAUCAGUUGAAAAAGGCUAUUCUCAAAGAAAAGACAUUGAUUAUGAUGAAUUAUUUACUCCCGUUACUCGUUUGAAGACCAUAAGAUUGUUAAUUGUGCUUGCUGCUCAAAGUAAUUGGAAGAUCUUUUAGA
This is a long non-coding RNA of Cucumis melo (muskmelon), 4216 nucleotides long. RefSeq lists it as uncharacterized. The transcript is spliced from 3 exons. The record is from RefSeq and is a predicted model, not a curated record. NCBI's taxonomy places the organism in Eukaryota, Viridiplantae, Streptophyta, Magnoliopsida, Cucurbitales, Cucurbitaceae.